AUGCCCCUCUUGGUCUUGGGGCUCGCACUUUUCUGGAUCUGUUGGUUGUUGGCGCUUCUGCGUACUGGCCUACCACGUGGCGAUGGCGUCAGCCAAAGACGUCCAGAGAUCAAAAUAGUGGGACAUAUCCUCGACACUGUAUUUCCUCAGUCGGCCUCACUGCCUUGGCAAGAAGAGAUCCUUCGGCUGCGUAUCCCAUCUUCAGGGGAGGGUGAUUGUGUUGCAUGGCACUUCGAGAAGACGGGGAUGUUCUCAGUUAAAAGCGGGUACAAGCUUGCACUCAUGCUAAAGGAACAAAAAGAAGACGAGGGGCAAUACAACGAGGCAACAUUGGGGGAGAGGAAAAUUUGGGACAUCAUCUGGAAGGCCAAUGUUCCUCAGAAGAUCCGUAUUUUUGCAUGGCGGGCCGCUACCAAUAGCUUGGCUGUCCAAGUAAACAGAGUGGCACACCACCAAGCGACUCUCAGUACGUGCUUGAUAUGUCGAGUGAAGGACCAGAAUACGUUUCAUGCGCUUGUUACGUGCCCCAAGGCUCAUGCGUUGCACAUGGCCAUGAGAGAUAUUUGGGAGUUACCGACGGAGGAUGCAUUCAGUCAUUCAAGGCCAUUGGAGGAUUCAAAGAAUAAAGGGAAAAUUCCGAUGAGUGGUCUGCAAAGUGCUCCAAAUAUUUUGGAAGUUCGGAUGGGUUGGAAGCCCCCACCUUCAGGUUAUAUCAAAAUUAAUGUCGACACAAGCUUUGUGGAAAGUAUUAGCGCGGCAAGUGUGGGUGUGGUGGCUAGGGAUUUUGCUGGCAAAGUCUUGAUCUCUUCAUGGGACUACAUUGGGAGGUGUAGUAGCGUGGAGGAAGCGGAACUCCGAGCUUGCAUUGUUGGUCUCUAUAUAGGUUUAAGAAAUCCUCUUGAGUCGCCCAUCCAAAAGGAUGGGAACUGCGAGUAA
This 936-nucleotide ribosomal RNA is filed under the name Triticum aestivum (bread wheat). RNAcentral's name for it is "partial small subunit ribosomal RNA". Lineage: Eukaryota; Viridiplantae; Streptophyta; Magnoliopsida; Poales; Poaceae. The record is from RNAcentral.